Molecule: ribosomal RNA, 429 nt
Filed under: Verrucomicrobiota bacterium
Lineage: Bacteria; Pseudomonadati; Verrucomicrobiota
Description: Verrucomicrobia bacterium partial 16S ribosomal RNA
Rfam family: Bacterial small subunit ribosomal RNA
Source: RNAcentral
UAGGGAAUCUUCGGCAAUGGGGGGAACCCUGACCGAGCAACGCCGCGUGAGUGAAGAAGGUUUUCGGAUCGUAAAGCUCUGUUGUUAAGGAAGAACGAGUGUGAGAAUGGAAAGUUCAUGCUGUGACGGUACUUAACCAGAAAGGGACGGCUAACUACGUGCCAGCAGCCGCGGUAAUACGUAGGUCCCGAGCGUUGUCCGGAUUUAUUGGGCGUAAAGCGAGCGCAGGCGGUUAGAAAAGUCUGAAGUGAAAGGCAGUGGCUCAACCAUUGUAGGCUUUGGAAACUGUUUAACUAGAGUGCAGAAGGGGAGAGUGGAAUUCCAUGUGUAGCGGUGAAAUGCGUGGAUAUAUGGAGGAACACCGGUGGCGAAAGCGGCUCUCUGGUCUGUAACUGACGCUGAGGCUCGAAAGCGUGGGGAGCGAACAGG